This 88-nucleotide transfer RNA is filed under the name Hadesarchaea archaeon. RNAcentral's name for it is "tRNA-Leu". It matches the Rfam family "tRNA". From Rfam's summary of the family: Transfer RNA (tRNA) molecules are approximately 80 nucleotides in length. Their secondary structure includes four short double-helical elements and three loops (D, anti-codon, and T loops). The record is from RNAcentral. Lineage: Archaea; Methanobacteriati; Hadarchaeota (SeqCode); Hadarchaeia (SeqCode).
GCGGGGGUAGCCAAGUCAGGUCAAAGGCGCCAGACUCAAGAUCUGGCCUCGAAGGAGUUCGGGGGUUCGAAUCCCCUCCCCCGCACCA